UCACUGCUUGCGCAGGCAGUCUCACUAGAGUCCCCGGCUUGACCCGCUGGUAACUAGUGAUAGGGGUUGCGUUCGUUGCGGGACUUAACCCAACAUCUCACGACACGAACUGACGACAGCCAUGCAGCACCUCGCUAAAGGCCCUUUCGGGAAGUCCCCUUUCAAGGACGGUCCUCUAGCGUUCGAGCCCAGGUAAGGUUCCUCGCGUUGCAUCGAAUUAAGCCACAUGCUCCACCGCUUGUGCGGGCCCCCGUCAAUUCCUUUGAGUUUCACCCUUGCGAGCGUACUCCCCAGGUGGGAUACUUAUCGCGUUAGCUUAGGCGCUGCACCCAUACGGAUGCAACACCGAGUAUCCAUCGUUUAGGGCGUGGACUAC
RNAcentral lists this unclassified non-coding RNA (376 nucleotides) under uncultured Bacteroidota bacterium. RNAcentral's name for it is "uncultured Bacteroidetes bacterium contains 16S-23S intergenic spacer region". The record is from RNAcentral. Lineage: Bacteria; Pseudomonadati; Bacteroidota.